GUGUGUCUGUGAAUGUAUGUGUGUGUCUGUGAGUGUAUGUGUGUAUGUGUGUCUAUGAAUGUGUGUGUGUCUGUGAAUGUGUGUGUGUCUGUGUGUCAGUGUAUGUGUGUCUGUGAAUGUAUGUGUGUGUCUGUGAGUGUAUGUGUGUCUGUGAAUGUAUGAGUGUGUGUCUGUGAGUCUAUGUGUGUGUGUGUGUCUGUGAAUGUGUCUGUGAG
Non-coding RNA from Pelobates cultripes (western spadefoot toad), 215 nucleotides. Lineage: Eukaryota; Metazoa; Chordata; Amphibia; Anura; Pelobatidae. The record is from the annotation of a GenBank genome assembly.